GGCAACAAAGAGCUGCAGGAAAAUACUUGCAGAUCUACAAAUGUGGUUUGGAAAGUCCAGAAGUCCCUCUGUCAGUUGGAAGAGUUCAUCGGUUAAACAGAAUCAGGUGAUUAUGAUGCAUGGACUGGCUUGGAGUGAGGCACCUUUACU
Non-coding RNA from Procambarus clarkii (red swamp crayfish), 150 nucleotides. The record is from RefSeq and is a predicted model, not a curated record. Lineage: Eukaryota; Metazoa; Arthropoda; Malacostraca; Decapoda; Cambaridae.